GACGAACGCUGGCGGCGUGCUUAACACAUGCAAGUCGAGCGGAAAGGCCCUUCGGGGUACUCGAGCGGCGAACGGGUGAGUAACACGUGAGUAACCUGCCCCAGACUUUGGGAUAACCCUCGGAAACGGGGGCUAAUACCGGAUACGACACAGCUUCGCAUGGGGUCUGUGUGGAAAGUUUUUCGGUUUGGGAUGGGCUCGCGGCCUAUCAGCUUGUUGGUGGGGUGAUGGCCUACCAAGGCGACGACGGGUAGCCGGCCUGAGAGGGCGACCGGCCACACUGGGACUGAGACACGGCCCAGACUCCUACGGGAGGCAGCAGUGGGGAAUAUUGCCCAAUGGGCGGAAGCCUGAUGCAGCGACGCCGCGUGAGGGAUGACGGCCUUCGGGUUGUAAACCUCUUUCAGCAGGGACGAAGCGUAAGUGACGGUACCUGCAGAAGAAGCGCCGGCCAACUACGUG
Molecule: ribosomal RNA, 462 nt
Filed under: uncultured bacterium
Lineage: Bacteria
Description: partial 16S ribosomal RNA
Rfam family: Bacterial small subunit ribosomal RNA
Source: RNAcentral